Xiphophorus couchianus (Monterrey platyfish) is the source of this 717-nucleotide long non-coding RNA. RefSeq lists it as uncharacterized. The record is from RefSeq and is a predicted model, not a curated record. The transcript is spliced from 3 exons. Lineage: Eukaryota; Metazoa; Chordata; Actinopteri; Cyprinodontiformes; Poeciliidae.
AGCUCAGAGAUCAAAUCUCUGAUUCUUGUUGAACUCUUUGUUGAAUGUGAUGCAGCUUCUCCUUUUUAAUGUUUGUAUUUCUGGAUAUUACAGUGAGGCCACAGCAGGUUUUCACGCAGCAGGGCUGGUUAGUGUUUCAUUCCUUCAUCUGUGUGUGGGAGUGUGGAUGGAACAGGUAUCCAGGUGUUGUGUCAGAGUUUAGAUUGAUUGUAUUUUAAUGCUGAUUAUUAAAUCAGGUUGAGCUUCCAGAAAUGUUUCCUAGUUUCCUGAUGUCCUUUUAGGCUUCAGUGAGUUUCUUCAGGUUGUUACUGAGGGAUUUCCUUUCUCCUCUCUGUUGGAGCUUUUCCUGUGUUUGGAGAAAUGAGUUGUGCUGCAAGCAGCACCAAACUGUCCUUCCUACAUCCACUGCAGUUUGCAAUCCAAAUGUUGGACUGUUCCUGUCUCAGUGGAGGACCAUGUGUGUCUGAGAGACAUGUAAUGUCCAUGUUUGCUGCUGAAAGAGACUGAUGGUCUGACCCCCCUCCUCCUUUCAGGGUGGAGCCUGCUGGAGUCCCAUUCUUGACACCAGGUGUGAGGAAGUAUUCCUGUCAACUCACCAUCGACACAAACACAGUGAACAGAAACUCAAACUGUCUGAAGACAUCAGGAAGGUGACAUAUGUGAAGGAGCUUCAGUCAUAUCCUGAUCAUCCAGACAGAUUUGAUUUCUGUGAUCAGC